This 579-nucleotide ribosomal RNA is filed under the name Mycobacterium sp. BvORR182. RNAcentral describes it as "bacterial SSU rRNA". It matches the Rfam family "Bacterial small subunit ribosomal RNA", at positions 102 to 694 of the family's 1533-position model. The record is from RNAcentral. RNAcentral also lists the same sequence under 1 other name. Lineage: Bacteria; Bacillati; Actinomycetota; Actinomycetes; Mycobacteriales; Mycobacteriaceae.
ACGGGUGAGUAACACGUGGGUGAUCUGCCCUGCACUUUGGGAUAAGCCUGGGAAACUGGGUCUAAUACCGAAUAUGACCAUGCGCCUCCUGGUGUGUGGUGGAAAGCUUUUGCGGUGUGGGAUGGGCCCGCGGCCUAUCAGCUUGUUGGUGGGGUAAUGGCCUACCAAGGCGACGACGGGUAGCCGGCCUGAGAGGGUGACCGGCCACACUGGGACUGAGAUACGGCCCAGACUCCUACGGGAGGCAGCAGUGGGGAAUAUUGCACAAUGGGCGCAAGCCUGAUGCAGCGACGCCGCGUGAGGGAUGACGGCCUUCGGGUUGUAAACCUCUUUCAGCACAGACGAAGCGCAAGUGACGGUAUGUGCAGAAGAAGGACCGGCCAACUACGUGCCAGCAGCCGCGGUAAUACGUAGGGUCCGAGCGUUGUCCGGAAUUACUGGGCGUAAAGAGCUCGUAGGUGGUUUGUCGCGUUGUUCGUGAAAACUCACAACUCAAUUGUGGGCGUGCGGGCGAUACGGGCAGACUUGAGUACUGCAGGGGAGACUGGAAUUCCUGGUGUAGCGGUGGAAAUGCGCAGA